This is a non-coding RNA of Cyanistes caeruleus (blue tit), 803 nucleotides long. Lineage: Eukaryota; Metazoa; Chordata; Aves; Passeriformes; Paridae. The record is from RefSeq and is a predicted model, not a curated record.
GCGGGCCGGGACCUUUGCCCCCAGGCAGGACAAAGUGGCCUCAGCUCUCCCUCCUGUCUCCUCCAACAGGCUGAGAAGUUCACCUGUGUCUGCUACAGCUUCUCUGUGGGGCAGACUGCGGUCCAGUGGCAUGGGAUUGUGAUUGGACUGGUUGUGCUGUUGGCAGUCCUCCUUGUGGCUGCAGUCAUCCUCUGGUUUGUGCUCUCCAAGAAAAAGAAGUAUUUGCCCAACAAAACUAAGGAGGAUAAUUAAAAAGGUAAAGGUGGCUAGGCUGGAGAUCAGUCUAUCCAGGACCAUGGAGACAUCCAGAGCACUGAGGAUAUGGAGAAAAUGGGAAGGAUGACCCCACCCCAGUGCUGAUGACUGCUAUGUACCCUGGCUCUCCUGUGACUGACCAGCAUAGAGGUCCCAUGCAAUUCAUCCAAUUCAGCAGGGCAAGAGGAAAACAGAAGGCCAAGGAGGGUUGAGCUUUUUCAUUCCUCACCUCCUAGGUUUUGCUUACUGCUUUGUAAGGCCUUUGAAACUGGCUUUCUGUAAUCCUUUUUUUCCAGGCUUUGCUUUCAUUUUUGCUUUCCUGGAAGCAUAAUUUGUAUGCCAGAUUUCCCAGUCCCAGACUCACACAGGCUCAGGCUGAUGGCAUUUGCUGUCCUCUGGGUUCCCAACCCUUCUGCCCUUUCUGUUGAUAUUCAGCCAACAAAGCCAAGGGUUUUGCUAGGCCUGGCUGAAUGCUUUGUGGCCCUGCCUAUUCUGUCUGGACAACAAAUAAAGGCUUGUGGUUUGGAGGGGCUGCCUGUCCCACACAA